GGCUGGUCCGAGUGCAGUGGUGUUUACAACUAAUUGAUCACAGCCAGUUAACAGAUUUCUUUGUUCCUUUUCCAUUCCCACUGCUUCACUUGACUAGCCUUAA
This 103-nucleotide Y RNA is filed under the name Cebus imitator (Panamanian white-faced capuchin). RNAcentral describes it as "Y RNA (ENSCCAG00000003834.1)". It matches the Rfam family "Y RNA". Rfam says of the family: Y RNAs are components of the Ro ribonucleoprotein particle (Ro RNP), in association with Ro60 and La proteins. The record is from Rfam by way of RNAcentral. Lineage: Eukaryota; Metazoa; Chordata; Mammalia; Primates; Cebidae.